AGCGCACCCCUGUCGUCGUUAUACGUGUCUGACGAGACUGCCGGUCAUAAGCCGGAGGAAGGCGGGGAUGAUGUCAAGUCCGCAUGGCCUUUAUAUCCGGGGCUACACACACGCUACAAUGGCCGGUACAAUGGGUCGCCAAGCCGCGAGGCGGAGCCAAUCCUAUAAAGCCGGUCUCAGUUCGGAUUGCAGGCUGCAACCCGCCUGCAUGAAGUCGGAGUUGCUAGUAACCGCGCGUCAGCCAUAGUGCGGUGAAUACGUUCCCGGGCCU
RNAcentral lists this ribosomal RNA (271 nucleotides) under uncultured bacterium. RNAcentral describes it as "partial 16S ribosomal RNA". It matches the Rfam family "Bacterial small subunit ribosomal RNA", at positions 1095 to 1381 of the family's 1533-position model. The record is from RNAcentral.